UAGACUCGUCAUGCGCACGGCGCGGAGUGC
This 30-nucleotide small RNA is filed under the name Bombyx mori (domestic silkworm). RNAcentral describes it as "ovarian small RNA-21967". The record is from RNAcentral. Lineage: Eukaryota; Metazoa; Arthropoda; Insecta; Lepidoptera; Bombycidae.